UGACAUGCUCCUCAUCAAUUCUUGGACCUGUUAUUGCAAUUUUCGCUGCUCUAUCAACCAUUUCAUUUCCAUUAAUGCCAGAAUGUCCAGGUACCCAAACAAAAACAGGUCUGACAUUAUGCUCACUCAGGUCCACCAAACAACCUUGGCAUAAACGAGCCAGAGGAUCUCUCGUGUAUAUAUCUUUUACAGCAUUUAUGGCAUUUAAGGAGUCGCUAACUAUCAAAUAUGUUUUAUUUGUAGGUUCUACGGGAAUGUGUACCAGAGCCUUCCAUAAUGCAAACUGUUCCGCAGUAUACACCGAGGUUAUAGGGUUUAGGGCCCAGGAGUGGACCACACCAUCAACUACCAUGGCGGAUCCCGCCCCUUGUUGGUUUUUCGAGCCAUCAGUAAAGAUAACCGUUUUAUUUGUGUAGUUGUUAGCGAUCUCCUCAAAUAGACGUAUCAACCACGGGUAGCAAUUGUACUGGUUUUUCUGCACUAGGUGAGGUAUUGUUUCGUGUAGUUCCCCCAGGAUCUCUUUAAACCGUAUCCCGAGCGGUCGUGGGAUAGUUGGCCUGGCGUCAAAAUCAUUUCCGUCUGGAAAUAGGAAAACAUUGUUCGGGUGAGUGGGAUCUGAUUUUAUUUUAACCAUAUAAUUGAUCAUCAGCUGUUGUCUUCGCGUAUCCAAUGGAGGCAAGUUCGAUUCACAAUAAAGACUGUGUAUAGGAGUGGUAGGAAACGCGCCUAAACAAUACUUUAUUCCAGUAUUAUGCACCCUAUCUAAUAGUAAUAGCGACGAUUUACGGGCUGAUGCAUAUACAAUCGCUCCAUAGUCGAUUUGCGACAUAACUAAGGCCCGGUAUACGUUUAUUAGCAUUUGCACCUCAGCACCCCAUUUGGUGUUCAAUAUGCGCGUUCCACGUUAGUUUGCUAUCAAACGUCAAUCCCAGAAAUUUUGUCGCUGUCACACACGCAACUGGUCUAUUUCCGAUAUAGAGUGACGGAUCAUAAUGUGGUCUGCGCAAUUUACAAAAAUGAACGCAUUUAGUUUUUUCCCUGGAAAAUUGUUUAACGUUUAUCUGGCCUACAGUGGCCCCGGAGCAAUAUAUCGCCAAGUCAUCAACAUAUAGAGCCCGAGAAACACCAGGCUCCACUCCGUCCGCAAUCUCGUUAAUUGCAAUCAAAAACAGUGUACAGCUCAGCGUGGAGCCUUGCGGUACACCGUUUUCCAGGCGUUGAACUUUUGACAAAGUGUUUCCUAUCCGCACCCGGAAAUAUCUAUCGGUCAUAAACGAUUUAAUAA
Long non-coding RNA from Photinus pyralis (common eastern firefly), 1285 nucleotides. RefSeq lists it as uncharacterized. The record is from RefSeq and is a predicted model, not a curated record. Lineage: Eukaryota; Metazoa; Arthropoda; Insecta; Coleoptera; Lampyridae. The transcript has 4 exons.